Molecule: ribosomal RNA, 197 nt
Filed under: Salmonella enterica
Lineage: Bacteria; Pseudomonadati; Pseudomonadota; Gammaproteobacteria; Enterobacterales; Enterobacteriaceae
Description: partial 16S ribosomal RNA
Rfam family: Bacterial small subunit ribosomal RNA
Source: RNAcentral
AAAUUGAAGAGUUUGAUCAUGGCUCAGAUUGAACGCUGGCGGCAGGCCUAACACAUGCAAGUCGAACGGUAGCACAGAGAGCUUGCUCUUGGGUGACGAGUGGCGGACGGGUGAGUAAUGUCUGGGAAACUGCCUGAUGGAGGGGGAUAACUACUGGAAACGGUGGCUAAUACCGCAUAAUGUCGCAAGACCAAAGA